This 492-nucleotide ribosomal RNA is filed under the name uncultured bacterium. Its description in RNAcentral is "partial 16S ribosomal RNA". It matches the Rfam family "Bacterial small subunit ribosomal RNA", at positions 29 to 507 of the family's 1533-position model. The record is from RNAcentral.
AGUGAACGCUGGCGGUAGGCCUAACACAUGCAAGUCGAACGGCAGCACAGUAAGAGCUUGCUCUUACGGGUGGCGAGUGGCGGACGGGUGAGGAAUACAUCGGAAUCUACUUUUUCGUGGGGGAUAACGUAGGGAAACUUACGCUAAUACCGCAUACGACCUACGGGUGAAAGCAGGGGAUCUUCGGACCUUGCGCGAUUGAAUGAGCCGAUGUCGGAUUAGCUAGUUGGCGGGGUAAAGGCCCACCAAGGCGACGAUCCGUAGCUGGUCUGAGAGGAUGAUCAGCCACACUGGAACUGAGACACGGUCCAGACUCCUACGGGAGGCAGCAGUGGGGAAUAUUGGACAAUGGGCGCAAGCCUGGUCCAGCCAUACCGCGUGGGUGAAGAAGGCCUUCGGGUUGUAAAGCCCUUUUGUUGGGAAAGAAAAGCAGCAGGCUAAUACCCCGCUGUUCUGACGGUACCCAAAGAAUAAGCACCGGCUAACUUCGUG